RNAcentral lists this small RNA (119 nucleotides) under Escherichia coli O157:H7. RNAcentral describes it as "RtT sRNA". It matches the Rfam family "RtT RNA". From Rfam's summary of the family: This family represents a bacterial cis-regulatory element known as RtT RNA. The exact function of RtT is unknown although it is thought that it may be involved in changing the cellular response in relation to amino acid starvation. Lineage: Bacteria; Pseudomonadati; Pseudomonadota; Gammaproteobacteria; Enterobacterales; Enterobacteriaceae. The record is from RNAcentral.
GGAGAAGGAUGAGAAGCUUCGACUAAGGUUCGACUCGAGCGCCAGCGAGAGAGCGUUGCCGCAGGCAACGACCUGAAGGGCGAAGCGCGCAGCGCUGAGUAAUCCUUCCCCCACCACCA